This 439-nucleotide ribosomal RNA is filed under the name uncultured bacterium. Its description in RNAcentral is "partial 16S ribosomal RNA". It matches the Rfam family "Bacterial small subunit ribosomal RNA", at positions 339 to 795 of the family's 1533-position model. The record is from RNAcentral.
CUACGGGUCGCUCCAGUGGGGAAUUUUGCGCAAUGGGGGAAACCCUGACGCAGCAAUACCGCGUGAGUGAAGAAGGCCUUUGGGUCGUAAAGCUCUUUUCUUGGGGAAGAUAGUGACGGUACCCAAGGAAUAAGCACCGGCUAACUCCGUGCCAGCAGCCGCGGUAAUACGGAGGGUGCAAGCGUUGUUCGGAUUUACUGGGCGUAAAGGGCACGUGGGCGGCACAGCAAGUUAAGGGUGAAAUCCCGGGGCUCAACUCCGGAACUGCUCUUAAAACUGCUGAGCUAGAGAUAGUCAGAGGCGGGUGGAAUUCCAGGUGUAGGGGUGAGAUUCGUAGAUAUCUGGAGGAACACCGGUGGCGAAGGCGGCCCGCUGGGGCUAUUCUGACGCUAAGGUGCGAAAGCGUGGGGAGCAAACGGGAUUAGAUACCCUAGUAGUC